CCUACGGGCGGCUGCAGUGGGGAAUAUUGGACAAUGGGCGAAAGCCUGAUCCAGCCAUGCCGCGUGUGUGAAGAAGGCCUUCGGGUUGUAAAGCACUUUCAGUGGGGAAGAAAGCCUUGGGGCUAAUACCCUCGAGGAAGGACAUCACCCACAGAAGAAGCACCGGCUAACUCCGUGCCAGCAGCCGCGGUAAUACGGAGGGUGCGAGCGUUAAUCGGAAUUACUGGGCGUAAAGCGCGCGUAGGCGGUCUGAUAAGCCGGUUGUGAAAGCCCCGGGCUCAACCUGGGAACGGCAUCCGGAACUGUCAGGCUAGAGUGCAGGAGAGGAAGGUAGAAUUCCCGGUGUAGCGGUGAAAUGCGUAGAGAUCGGGAGGAAUACCAGUGGCGAAGGCGGCCUUCUGGACUGACACUGACGCUGAGGUGCGAAAGCGUGGGUAGCAAACAGGAUUAGAACCCGAGUAGUC
This 464-nucleotide ribosomal RNA is filed under the name Vreelandella stevensii. RNAcentral's name for it is "partial 16S ribosomal RNA". It matches the Rfam family "Bacterial small subunit ribosomal RNA", at positions 338 to 795 of the family's 1533-position model. The record is from RNAcentral. Lineage: Bacteria; Pseudomonadati; Pseudomonadota; Gammaproteobacteria; Oceanospirillales; Halomonadaceae.